RNAcentral lists this ribosomal RNA (303 nucleotides) under uncultured bacterium. RNAcentral's name for it is "partial 16S ribosomal RNA". It matches the Rfam family "Bacterial small subunit ribosomal RNA", at positions 507 to 809 of the family's 1533-position model. The record is from RNAcentral.
AGCAGUAGCCGCGGUAAUACGAAGGGUGCAAGCGUUACUCGGAAUUACUGGGCGUAAAGCGUGCGUAGGUGGUGGUUUAAGUCCGUUGUGAAAGCCCUGGGCUCAACCUGGGAAUUGCAGUGGAUACUGGGUCACUAGAGUGUGGUAGAGGAUAGUGGAAUUUCCGGUGUAGCAGUGAAAUGCGUAGAGAUCGGAAGGAACAUCUGUGGCGAAGGCGACUAUCUGGGCCAACACUGACACUGAGGCACGAAAGCGUGGGGAGCAAACAGGAUUAGAUACCCCGGUAGUCCCUGUCUCUUAUAU